Molecule: long non-coding RNA, 684 nt
Filed under: Marmota monax (woodchuck)
Lineage: Eukaryota; Metazoa; Chordata; Mammalia; Rodentia; Sciuridae
Source: RNAcentral
UAAAUUAUCUGCAUCAGGCCCUGUUUGCUUUAUUUUGUAAGUUUAUUUUCAUUUUUAUUUAAUAAUUUUUAUUGGUGCAUUAUAAUAAGACAUAAUAGUGGGAUUCAUUGUGACAUAUUUGUACAUGCAUGAAAUGUGAUUUAGUCAAUUUCCAUUUGUUUUAUUUUCUCUGGAAGAGAGAGGAGUGUGCAGAGAGAAUGUACUGUGUGUGUGUGUUACAGAUAUAUUAUUUUUUGCAAUCAUCGGAGUGUAAUAUAAUGCCUAAGUAUUUCAGUGUGUGUCUUAUGACAACAAGAAUACCAUCGUACUAUAGUCAACAAAACUAAGAGAUUCCAUGUCAGUGUGAUUUGAUAGAAUCUUCCUAAUCCACAUAACCCACAGGCAUGGUCACAUUAACUGUCCCCACAGCGUCCUUUUUAACUAUGGCAUUGGGCCUCUAUUCCUGUGCUUCUCUGGUAUUUGCCUAGCUGCCCUUGUGAAAUGUCUGGUCACGUCUUUCCCCAGUUUUUCUGGGGCUCUCUUUUAUUUUUGAAUGGACAGUUCUUUGCCCAUUCUGCCCUUCAUCAGCAUGUGAUCUCUCUGGCCUGUGGCCUGUUUUUGACCGUGGCUUGAUGAGACUCAGAGCUUUGACAUUUUGAGGACUCUAAUUUGGGUGAGUCCCAUCAUGGACUGGAGACCCUCCGG